GGGGGUGAGGAGGUUCGACGGAAGAUGGACCGGGCGGGAGAAGCGAGCCGAGCCACGCCUCGUUAAACCGUGACCGCACGUUAAGUGCCAAGAACGAACCUGUUCUAGCUGCCGCUUAAUGCAGCUACGCUCUUUCAGGCCAAGCCCGCGGGCCUGAAGGGGCGACGGUCAGCGGGCUGGUUCCGGCGGGAGGGUCCGCGCUCGCCGGGGCGAGAUUUCAGACGGACUAGCUGGCUGGACUGGGUUUCCCGGGGAAAGCCAGGCGAAGUCUGACAGGGAAACUACGCUCGUAGAAGGCCCGCAGGUCGUCUUUCGGACGCGGGGUGCGACUCCCCGCCACCUCCACCA
This 348-nucleotide transfer-messenger RNA is filed under the name bacterium. RNAcentral describes it as "RBS10-35 sp018729555 Standard tmRNA". It matches the Rfam family "transfer-messenger RNA". Rfam says of the family: Bacterial tmRNA, also known as 10Sa RNA or SsrA, is named for its dual tRNA and mRNA-like properties. Its role is to liberate the mRNA from a stalled ribosome. To accomplish this part of the tmRNA is used as a reading frame that ends in a translation stop signal. RNAcentral also lists the same sequence under 1 other name. The record is from RNAcentral.